CGACGUAUCAUUCGGUUCAUCGGUAGCUCACUGUUUUAUACGUCUAUUACGUCUUCUUACAUAGAGCGUCGAGACCAUCGGUUACUGUAUAUCAAUGUUUUAUGAUAAUCCAUGCUACUCUAUGUGUUUAUCGUUUGUCAUGAAAUGACUGUUCCAUUUCCAAAAUAUUAAAACAAAAGUUAUGAGUUUAUGACGCAUCUUAACAGUGGGAGUUUUUUAAAUUAAAAGGGAAUUUUUAAAAUUGUAUUUGUACAAAAACAUAUUAUUUCUCAAAGCAUAAAUUAGAAUCUGUUGAAAAACAAGUUGCUGGAUUACGUUAUUAUCACAGAAUCUACUAUUAAUACAGAAGAGGAAUUACAAACAUUGGAAGCAAAAUUAAUUAACCGUGAUCAAAACCAUGCAUUUAGGUCUCAAUAUAAGUACCUAAGUGAUAUUUUUUUAUAUGAACAUUUUUAUACAUUGUGUUGAAACUUAAUAACCUAAAGAAUUUUUAUAGUUUCAUGUAAUGGUACAAAAAUAUUCAUUUUAUAAUUUUAUUUUAAUUUUUUAUUUUCAGAUUGUUAAAAUUACAAUAUAGUCAAUGGGUAAAGAUAUAAAACAUUCAAUUAAACGUAUUAACACAUGGCAUAUCAAAUUGGAUGUUCUGGCUAAAUACUCUAGUUUAACUACUUUUUGGAUAUUACACAUAUUUAUUUAUCUACUACAAUAAAUUCAAAUAUAAAAAAUAUUAUUUUGUGA
Molecule: long non-coding RNA, 738 nt
Organism: Aphis gossypii (cotton aphid)
Lineage: Eukaryota; Metazoa; Arthropoda; Insecta; Hemiptera; Aphididae
Exons: 2
Source: RefSeq, a predicted model, not a curated record